RNAcentral lists this ribosomal RNA (301 nucleotides) under uncultured bacterium. RNAcentral's name for it is "partial 16S ribosomal RNA". It matches the Rfam family "Bacterial small subunit ribosomal RNA", at positions 509 to 807 of the family's 1533-position model. The record is from RNAcentral.
CAGCAGCCGCGGUAAUACCGAGGGUGCGAGCGUUAAUCGGAUUUACUGGGCGUAAAGCGUGCGUAGGCGGCUUUUUAAGUCGGAUGUGAAAUCCCUGAGCUUAACUUAGGAAUUGCAUUCGAUACUGGGAAGCUAGAGUAUGGGAGAGGAUGGUAGAAUUCCAGGUGUAGCGGUGAAAUGCGUAGAGAUCUGGAGGAAUACCGAUGGCGAAGGCAGCCAUCUGGCCUAAUACUGACGCUGAGGUACGAAAGCAUGGGGAGCAAACAGGAUUAGAUACCCGAGUAGUCCCUGUCUCUUAUAC